GUGGCUGGUGCUUUUAUGGUGGUCAAAUUGUGGCUAUGGCUAGUUUAAAGCACAAGCAACUCUUGCGAUUGCUUGGUAGGGUGACCAGAUGUCCCGAUUUUAUAGGACAGUCCCGAUUUUUGGAGCUUUUUCUUACAUAGGCACCUCUCCCCCGUCCCGAUUUUUCACACUUGCUAUCUGGUCAACCUAUUGCUUGGCCCUGUCCUGUGCUUCAUCUGCCCUGCAGACCUGCUCCUGUUUGGGGACAUUCUGUCUGGGGCCCCCUGCCCCAUGGGACUGCAGGGGAAGCAACUUCCGCUGAAACUCAUCCCUCUGUGGCAGCCGCAAUGAAGGAGGUCUGAAGGUGCUUUCUAAUCCUUACCUCAAAGGAUUGUGAUCCCCUGUUUACCAUACACCAUGACUAGCCCCACUGGAGCAGCUGGGAUGUAUGGUGCUGCUGACUGCGAGUAAGGACCCAGCCUGGCCCAUAGUGUUUGAAUUCAAAGGAAUCCAAAGUACUUUAAUAACUACGCUUCGAGAUGGACUGUGGCAGAGCCUGAAAUUUAUUUGGAAUACACGCAACAUUUCAAGCUUGUGAAUCCAUUUGGAGAAUCCAACUUCAUCUUCCUUUGGAAUCUUGAUAUAUCACAUUCUUACAGCUACAG
Molecule: long non-coding RNA, 644 nt
Organism: Mauremys mutica (yellowpond turtle)
Lineage: Eukaryota; Metazoa; Chordata; Testudines; Geoemydidae
Exons: 3
Source: RefSeq, a predicted model, not a curated record